GGGAAGGCAGUGCUGGGACUCUGGUGCCCCCAACCCUGGGCAUCCUCAGGCUUUGAGGAGAAUACACAGGAUUUGAAGUCAGAAGACCUAGGUUUGAGUUCUGGCUGAGCCACGCACUGUUCAUGUGACCUUGGACAAAUCACCAAAUUUUUCUGAACAGCAUCUGUAAAGUGACAGUAACCCCUACCUCACAGGGUUGUUGUGAGGAUUACAUAUAUGCUAAAGCAUUUUGCAUAUGAAAAAGCUUCUUAUGAAUAUUGUUAUUCCUAGGGAAACCCCCCUUGGAAGCUGUCAAAAAGGACAACUGUAGAUGAAAUUGUCUUCCUUUUUUCUUCAUUCAGCUUAGCCUUUCUGUUUGGCCAGGGCUACUUACAGGGGCUGUUGGGGUUGAAGUAAAGUCACCGCAUUUUGGCUCCUUUGGUCAAAGAGAAAGAACUCUAAUGUCCAGCUGCUCCAUCGAUAUACUCAUAGAAUGGAAGUGAGCAAAGGAAAAUUUUAAGCCAGGAUAGUUAACCGUUAGGAGGCCAGUGGGAGAAUGCUUGCCUUGCAUUUGCAAAUCCAGAAUGACUAAAACAUCUUAAGUAAAUGAGG
Molecule: small RNA, 591 nt
Filed under: Pan troglodytes (chimpanzee)
Lineage: Eukaryota; Metazoa; Chordata; Mammalia; Primates; Hominidae
Description: processed transcript
Source: RNAcentral